GCCAGGCAUGGUGGCGCAUGCCUGUAAUCCCAGCUACUUGGGAGGCUGAGACAGGAGAAUCGCUUGAACCUGGGAGGCAGAGGUUUCAGUGAGUUGAAAUUGCACCACUGCACUCCAGCCUGGGCAAUAGAGAGAGACUCUGUCUCAA
This 148-nucleotide non-coding RNA is filed under the name Gorilla gorilla gorilla (western lowland gorilla). The record is from Rfam by way of RNAcentral. Lineage: Eukaryota; Metazoa; Chordata; Mammalia; Primates; Hominidae.